UAUGAACUACUCAUCUUGACAGUGUUUGGAUUUCACUUAAAUUCCAACACAAUUGCGAUAAAUACAGAGACUAAGUAGGUAUUACUUUGCCUCAGCAUUUUUCUUCUGUUUGAGAAAAAAUGAAUGGGAUUGGCUCCGUCUAUGGAGGAUCCCAUGUUUUCGUAGAAUCCUCCAUAGACUUAAAGGCUGUACUCUCAUGCAUGCGCAAGAGUUUUGAAGUGAUGUUGGCUGACAAAGGAGGUGCCCGUGAAUGACAGGUUCAGGUAUGUCGGACUUGCCUGUGCCCACCCCCAACCAACACCGGACCACCAGCGGUGAUAUCUGCAUGUGGAUUAUUUGCAAAGUCCCUAGACAGUGACAAGUUAUGUAAUGCAAAAGUCUUAACUGAAGCAGCUUCAAACACUUUAAAGCCCAAUAUAAUCUCUUCCUGUUGCACAAGUUACUCUUGGGACCCACCAUUGGCUAACCGUACCAUAUAGUGUCAUACACACUCAGAGCUUUGUUUAAAUCAAGUCUCAUUCAUUUUUCAGCAACAGACUGUUUAGUUUAGCAGAACUGGCCCACUCAGUACAGUGGAACCCUAGAAGACCCAGCAUGGCAGCACGGCCUGGGAAAAGGAAUUUUUUUAUUUUUUUUAUUCAAUAUACAGCAUUUUAAAAAUAAAAAAAGCAGAAAUUUGAUGACAGUUGGCCUUUAAUAAUUUUAAUACAGUACAUGUGUUAUUGCACAUCAAUAAUAUUUUACUUAUUAGCUUAUUUUAUAAUUGAAUGGGUUGGCAAUGUGGGUCCCUGUCAUAAAAGGUUAAACACUGUUUUAAUUGCUGUACUGUGAUAUUAUAAUUUAUUUAUAAUAGUGUAUAAAUAUUUAUCUGCAAAAGAUGGACAAGUUCCAUCAUGCAUGCUAAGCACAGUUGUCUUAUCUUUAGUUUGAAUAUGCUUUGUAGUUAUCCAAGUGUCUGGAAUGUCCUUAUAACCUAACCAGGAAGUGCCUCAAACCAUGUUAUCUACAAGACACCUUUGCUCAGAUGUUUAAUGAAAAACUGCUCCUUAGCGAACAAGAAAUGUGGAUAGAAUAUAUUUUAUUUCUUUACAAAUCACCUGAAGACAUGAACAGUAAAAUGUGUAAGCAAUUGAUGUGUGAAGUCCACAUGUUAAGCAUCUAAAAGAGACACUUCUGACAUCAAUACAACUUUAAAGGGUUACUCUAACAUUUCUUCCAUACCUCCUUUUUUUUUUUUUUCUCUUUUCUCAAAACUAAUAAUGCAUUAUUGGACAUUUAUUCUUUUGGCUUCUAUAAAUAUUAAAAUAACUAAAAAGCUAGGAAUGUAGGCUGGACUCUUAUCACUGGGUCAUUGGUCUUCCUAUCCCAACUUUGCCUGAAUGAUCAACUGCCUUGAGCACAGGCCCCAACAUCUGGUCCUCAAUGGGAUAUUGAUAAUAUUGCUCCAUUCUCUCCACGGAAGGCUGUUGGGAAUGGCUGAGGUGCUCACAGUAUAAUUCACAUUGUGGAUCGGACCACACUGCUGUUCUUGCAGUUAAUUUAUAUUUCCAACAUUUGUGUUCAGCAAUAGGCUCAGAUCAGCAUUGAUGACAAACCCUCCCCCCCUCCUGAAGUGUUAUGUACUGCAUUGCCAUAUACCUUUUUUUAAAAGUUAUUCCUUUUAUUCUAUUGCUAAUCUUAUGUACUGCUCAACUUUCUCAAUAAAACUUGAUUAACAAAAAACAAUAAAGUGCAACCUGAAAUCAAGGUGAUUCCUUCCUCCAUGACCAGUUCAAAAAGCA
This is a non-coding RNA of Pelobates cultripes (western spadefoot toad), 1781 nucleotides long. NCBI's taxonomy places the organism in Eukaryota, Metazoa, Chordata, Amphibia, Anura, Pelobatidae. The record is from the annotation of a GenBank genome assembly.